GACGAACGCUGGCGGCGUGCUUAACACAUGCAAGUCGAACGGAAAGGCCCUGCGUUUGUGGGGUGCUCGAGGGGCGAACGGGUGAGUAACACGUGAGUAACCUGCCCUUGACUUUGGGAUAACUUCAGGAAACUGGGGCUAAUACCGGAUAGGAGCUCCUGCUGCAUGGUGGGGGUUGGAAAGUUUCGGCGGUUGGGGAUGGACUCGCGGCUUAUCAGCUUGUUGGUGGGGUAGUGGCUUACCAAGGCUUUGACGGGUAGCCGGCCUGAGAGGGUGACCGGCCACAUUGGGACUGCGAUACGGCCCAGACUCCUACGGGAGGCAGCAGUGGGGAAUAUUGCACAAUGGGCGGAAGCCUGAUGCAGCAACGCCGCGUGCGGGAUGACGGCCUUCGGGUUGUAAACCGCUUUCGCCUGUGACGAAGCGUGAGUGACGGUAAUGGGUAAAGAAGCACCGGCUAACUACGUG
This 468-nucleotide ribosomal RNA is filed under the name uncultured bacterium. Its description in RNAcentral is "partial 16S ribosomal RNA". It matches the Rfam family "Bacterial small subunit ribosomal RNA", at positions 28 to 507 of the family's 1533-position model. The record is from RNAcentral.